RNAcentral lists this transfer RNA (71 nucleotides) under Schistosoma mansoni. The record is from RNAcentral. Lineage: Eukaryota; Metazoa; Platyhelminthes; Trematoda; Strigeidida; Schistosomatidae.
GCUUGGUGGUCUAAGGGUUAAGAGUUUGUACGCGAGAUGAAAGGUCCUGGGUUCAAUUCCCAUGUAAGGAA